GACAAACUCUUCAUCUCAAGAGGCCUAUGUGGAGAAGAAACAGGUUCUGCCAAGAAAACGUCAAACCAGAGUUUGCCUGAACGGAAUGUUGAGAAGAAGUCACUUUCGGCAGAGGAUCACAGAGAAAAGUUGAAACAGAGCGAGUUCGUUCAGCUGAUUUUUAGCUCUAUGAUUCUUGAAGACGAUUCAUGAAGGAGAGGACAUAACUUCUCAACGGUUAUUAGAUCAUUCAACGAUUGGGGAACAAAAAUGUAAUGGAGUUGUUGUUAAGCAAGAAGUUGAUAUAGGGAAGUGUUUGGGGAUUACCAGAAUAAUGUUAGAGAGAUUUGUAUUGAAGAGUCAAAGAGAGACAUGAAUAAUGAGUAUUAUUAUUUAUCUUA
Raphanus sativus (radish) is the source of this 380-nucleotide long non-coding RNA. RefSeq lists it as uncharacterized. The record is from RefSeq and is a predicted model, not a curated record. The transcript has 2 exons. Lineage: Eukaryota; Viridiplantae; Streptophyta; Magnoliopsida; Brassicales; Brassicaceae.